CGGGAUCUAAAACCUACUGCUCAGACAUUUCAAAUCGCUCUCAGAUGCUGACGACCGAGGGCGCUCGUCCCCCACUCCCCUGGCGGUGCCCUCCUCCCCAUCGGCGCCUGCAGAGAGAUCUCGGUGAGCGGCCAUGGUGCCGGCAGCGCGGCUCUGCUGCAGGGCCUCACGCGGGGUGUCACGGCUGGCUCGCACGCGCCAAGGGGACGGUCCAUGCAGACUCGCCAGCAAGCCCCUUAGCUAGAUCUUCCUCGGGCAGGCCCUCCUCCAGGUCUUCCAUCAGACCCGCCGCCAGGUCUUCCUCGAGCAGGCCCCUUCGCCGGCGACGAGCAUCACCAGCCUUGGAUGAAUAGGUGGUUUGCAUGAAAUGAAAAGCUAUCAACGCAAAACCAUUCUGGUAGCAAGUCAACUGCAUGAUGCAGUCCACGGCCACGGUGCUGGUAUGAAGCAGCGGUGGCGGUUGGUGGCGUGUAGUUCACGGCGGCGGUGGUAGUGCGAAUCAGCGGUGGUGGUCGGUUGGAUGGAAGAUAGCAAAGGAGCAGCGCGACGUGGCCAAGGAUUUUUGCAUUUUUGUUUGUUGAAUUUGGUGUUCUUUUUCUUGUGUGCAUAAGUUUCUUUAGGAGCACUUCUAUACAUUUUUGUAUUCUUAAUGCUUGUGAGCAUUAGUUUCUAUACAUUGUUGGAGCAGGUCUAUGUUGUUUUUAUGCGACAAAAAAUUCACUUUUUAUUCAUCAAAUUACUAAAUUCUAUGUAAUGCCGGCACGAAAAAUAUUUAAGUGUAUCUUGAUCACUGAAUUUAU
Sorghum bicolor (sorghum) is the source of this 800-nucleotide long non-coding RNA. RefSeq lists it as uncharacterized. The record is from RefSeq and is a predicted model, not a curated record. The transcript is spliced from 3 exons. Lineage: Eukaryota; Viridiplantae; Streptophyta; Magnoliopsida; Poales; Poaceae.